UACGUAUGGUGCAUGCGUUAUCCGGAUUUACUGGGUGUAAAGGGAGCGCAGGCGGCACGGCAAGCCUGAUGUGAAAGCCCGCGGCCCAACCGCGGGACUGCAUUGGGAACUACCGGGCUGGAGUGCCGGAGAGGUAGGCGGAAUUCCUAGUGUAGCGGUGAAAUGCGUAGAUAUCAGGAGGAACACCGGUGGCGAAGGCGGCCUGCUGGACUGCAACUGACGUUGAGGCCCGAAAGCGUGGGGAGCAAACAGG
Molecule: ribosomal RNA, 253 nt
Filed under: uncultured bacterium
Lineage: Bacteria
Description: partial 16S ribosomal RNA
Rfam family: Bacterial small subunit ribosomal RNA
Source: RNAcentral